GCCAGGGCAGAGCUCUCAUCUGGUGUGGCAGCAAGGGGCUGCCACAGUGUGUGACUUCAUUUGCUGAGGAGAGAUGGACACCUGGAAUCAUGCCAUGCAGCGACCUAAGGGGAAGACAGCACAGAGCCCUGUGACAGAAGGCGGCGAUAAGAAGACGGGCGACAUGGUUCCUUUAUUCCCGCCCACGCCUGCUCCUAAUUCCUGGUAGUCUGGGAAAACUGGAAGAAAAGAAAAUGCCAGAAAGUUACGGUAAAACUUAAGAUGCGGCCGAAGUCGCUUUCUUUGCCCCUGCUGUGAGUGUUUGAAUAAGAAGAAUGCUCCCGGACUGUAACAAGCAAAAAGAAUGAAGAAGACAAAAGAUUUCCAGAAAAAGGUUUAGCUAGAAGACAAGGCAAGUGAAACUGAAAGGAGAAAAAAAGCAUUUACAAUGGAACAAUAAGUGUACUAAUCGCUUUGAUAUAUUAUACAAGCCCAAAGACCCAAAACAUUGUGUAAUUAUUUAUAAAUGACUUCUCCACUCCUGUGUAUAAUGCAGAGGAAAGAAUAAAACUGCAGGCUACUCUCUAAACUAUUUCUAAAUAGACCUGGUUCAAAAGAAGGGAGAAGUGUUUGAAAUAAAAUAAUUAAUGGUGGA
Long non-coding RNA from Neofelis nebulosa (Clouded leopard), 634 nucleotides. RefSeq lists it as uncharacterized. NCBI's taxonomy places the organism in Eukaryota, Metazoa, Chordata, Mammalia, Carnivora, Felidae. The transcript has 3 exons. The record is from RefSeq and is a predicted model, not a curated record.